GCGUAAGAGGGCAAACCCAGUGCUUGCACUGGGGGUUGUAGGACUGCAAUGUGCAAUAAGUAAGGUUAGUAGAACACUCUGGAAAGUGUAGCCAUAGAGGGUGAUAGUCCCGUAUACGAAAACCAAACUUUAGCUAGCAGUAUCCUGAGUAGGGCGAAACACGUGGAAUUUUGUCUGAAGCUGGGUCGACCACGAUCCAACCCUAAAUACUAAUACCAGAUCGAUAGUGCACAAGUACCGUGAGGGAAAGGUGAAAAGAACUGAGGUGAUCAGAGUGAAAUAGAACCUGAAACCAUUUGCUUACAAUCAUUCAGAGCACUAUGUAGCAAUACAGUGUGAUGGACUGCCUUUUGCAUAAUGAGCCUGCGAGUUGUGGUGUCUGGCAAGGUUAAGCACACGCGAAGCCGUAGCGAAAGCGAGUCUGAAUAGGGCGCUUAAGUCAGAUGCUGCAGACCCGAAACGAAGUGAUCUAUCCAUGAGCAAGUUGAAGCUAGUGUAAGAACUAGUGGAGGACUGAACCCAUAGGCGUUGAAAAGCCCCGGGAUGACUUGUGGAUAGGGGUGAAAGGCCAAUCAAACUUCGUGAUAGCUGGUUCUCUCCGAAAUAUAUUUAGGUAUAGCGUUGUGUCGUAGUAUAAGGGGGUAGAGCACUGAAUGGGCUAGGGCAUACACCAAUGUACCAAACCCUAUCAAACUCCGAAUACCUUAUAUGUAAUCACAGCAGUCAGGCGGCGAGUGAUAAAAUCCGUCGUCA
This 753-nucleotide ribosomal RNA is filed under the name Campylobacter lari. Its description in RNAcentral is "partial 23S ribosomal RNA". It matches the Rfam family "Bacterial large subunit ribosomal RNA", at positions 259 to 1013 of the family's 2925-position model. The record is from RNAcentral. Lineage: Bacteria; Pseudomonadati; Campylobacterota; Epsilonproteobacteria; Campylobacterales; Campylobacteraceae.